RNAcentral lists this ribosomal RNA (1516 nucleotides) under metagenome. RNAcentral's name for it is "bacterial SSU rRNA". It matches the Rfam family "Bacterial small subunit ribosomal RNA". The record is from RNAcentral.
AGGGUAUGAUACCGGCUCAGAACGAACGCUGGCGGCGUGGAUAAGACAUGCAAGUCGCACGAGAAACCGGUCUUCGGAUUGGGAGUAAAGUGGCGAAAGGGUCAGUAAUACAUAGAUAACUUGUCAACUGGCUCGGUAUAACUCGGCGAAAGCCGGGCUAAUUCCGGAUGAGAUGCUCUGACGAAUGUUGGGGCAUGAAAGGCGGGGACCCUUCGGGGCCUGUCACCGGUGGAGAGGUCUAUGUCCUAUCAGCUAGUUGGUGAGGUAACGGCUCACCAAGGCUUACGGGUACGGGGCCUGAGAGGGUGUUCCCGGACACUGGGACUGAGACACAGCCCAGACUCCUACGGGAGGCAGCAGUCGAGAAUCAUUCGCAAUGGGCGCAAGCCUGACGAUGCGACGCCGCGUGUGGGAUGGAGGCCUUCGGGUCGUAAACCACUGUCACGGGGGAAGAACCAUACGGAUAACAAAAUGUCUGUGUCUGACGUUACCCCGAGAGGAAGCCACGGCUAACUCCGUGCCAGCAGCCGCGGUAAUACGGAGGUGGCGAGCGUUGUUCGGAUUUACUGGGCGUAAAGGGUGUGUAGGCGGCUGAACGUGUUCGGUGUGAAAUACCCCGGCUUAACUAGGGAACUGCAUCGAAAACUGUUCGGCUUGAGUGCAGGAGAGGAGAAUGGAAUUUCCGGUGUAGCGGUGAAAUGCGUAGAUAUCGGAAGGAACGCCAGUGGCGAAAGCGGUUCUCUGGCCUGCAACUGACGCUGAGGCACGAAAGCCAAGGUAGCAAACGGGAUUAGAUACCCCGGUAGUCUUGGCCGUAAACGAUGGACACUACGUAGUGGGGACUCUGACGUUCUCACUGCCGGAACUAACGCAUUAAGUGUCCCGCCUGGGGACUACGACCGCAAGGUUAAAACUCAAGGUAAUUGACGGGGGCUCACACAAGCGGUGGAGCAUGUUGCGUAAUCAACGCGAAGAACCUUACCUGGGCUUGACAUGCACGGAUUAGGUGUAUGAAAGUACACUGACGCGCUUGCGUGGAACGUGCACAGGUGUUGCAUGGCUGUCGUCAGCUCGUGCCGUGAGGUGUCGGGUUAAGUCCCUCAACGAGCGAAACCCUUAUCUCUAGUUGCCAGCGAGUAAUGUUGGGGACUCUAGAGAGACUGCCAGUGUUAAACUGGAGGAAGGCGGGGAUGACGUCAAGUCAUCAUGGCCCUUAUGCCCAGGGCUGCAAACGUGCUACAAUGGCCGGUACAAAGGGAAGCAAGACCGCGAGGUGGAGCAAAUCCCAAAAAAGCCGUCCUCAGUUCGGAUUGAAGUCUGCAACUCGACUUCAUGAAGCUGGAAUCGCUAGUAAUCACGGAUCAGCAACGCCGUGGUGAAUGUGUUCCUGAGCCUUGUACACACCGCCCGUCAAGUCACCUGAAUGGAUCGAACCCGAAGCCGCGAAGCUCUCGGGCCAGCGUCGAAGGUCCGGUUCGUAAGGGGGACUAAGUCGGAACAAGGUAGCCGUACGGGA